GAUGAACGCUGGCGGCGUGCCUAAUACAUGCAAGUCGAGCGAACAUAUGAGGAUCUUGCUCCUCUGACGGUAGCGGCGAACGGGUGAGUAACACUUGGGUAACCUACCUAUAAGACUGGGAUAACUUCGUAAAACCUGAGCUAAUACCGGGUAAUGUAUUGAACCGCAUGGUUCAAUAGUGAAAGACUGGUUUGCUGGCACGGAUAGAUGGAUCCGCGCCGCAUUAGCUAGUUUGUAAGGUAACGGCUUACCAAGGCAACGAUGCGUAGCCGACCUGAGAGGGUGAUUGGGCAGCUUGGAAGUGAGACACGGUCCACACUCCUACGGUAGGCAGCAGUAGGGAAUCCUACGGGAUGGGGGAAAGCCUGACGGAGCAAAGUGGGGUGAGUGAUGAAGCUCUUAGGAUGGUAAAACUAUGUUAUCAGGGAAGAACAAAUGUGCAAGUAACCAGGACCGUAUUGACGGUACCUGAUCAGAAAGCCCCGGCUAACUACGUG
RNAcentral lists this ribosomal RNA (497 nucleotides) under uncultured bacterium. RNAcentral's name for it is "partial 16S ribosomal RNA". It matches the Rfam family "Bacterial small subunit ribosomal RNA", at positions 28 to 507 of the family's 1533-position model. The record is from RNAcentral.